CCUACGGGGGGCAGCAGUGAGGAAUAUUGGUCAAUGGGCUUACGCCUGAACCAGCCAAGUCGCGUGAGGGAAGACUGCCCUAUGGGUUGUAAACCUCUUUUGCCAGGGAGCAACGCCGGCUACGUGUAGCCGGACUGAGAGUACCUGAAGAAAAAGCAUCGGCUAACUCCGUGCCAGCAGCCGCGGUAAUACGGAGGAUGCGAGCGUUAUCCGGAUUUAUUGGGUUAAAAGGGUGCGUAGGCGGAAUGCCAAGUCAGCGGGAAAAUCGCGGGGCUCAACCUCGCUCCGCCUUUGAAACUGGCGUUCUUGAGUGGGCGAGAAGUAUGCGGAAUGCGUGGUGUAGCGGUGAAAUGCAUAGAGAUCACGCAGAACUCCGAUUGCGAAGGCAGCAUACCGGCGCCCAACUGACGCUGAAGCACGAAAGCGUGGGUAUCGAACAGGAUUAGAUACCCCUGUAGUC
RNAcentral lists this ribosomal RNA (460 nucleotides) under uncultured bacterium. RNAcentral's name for it is "partial 16S ribosomal RNA". It matches the Rfam family "Bacterial small subunit ribosomal RNA", at positions 338 to 795 of the family's 1533-position model. The record is from RNAcentral.